This 403-nucleotide ribosomal RNA is filed under the name uncultured bacterium. RNAcentral describes it as "partial 16S ribosomal RNA". It matches the Rfam family "Bacterial small subunit ribosomal RNA", at positions 338 to 734 of the family's 1533-position model. The record is from RNAcentral.
CCUACGGGUGGCAGCAGUGGGGAAUCUUCCACAAUGGGCGAAAGCCUGAUGGAGCAACGCCGCGUGUUUGAAUGAAGCCCUCGGGUUUUUAAAUACUUGCAGCCAGGGACGAGUAAGUAAUGCUAAUACUUUUGCGCAUUACGGUACCUGUCUGGAAAGCCCCGGCUAACGACGUGCCAGCAGCCGCGGGAAUACGUAGGGAGCAAGGCUUUUCCGGGAUUACUUGGCGUAAAGGGCGCGUAGGUGGGUGUUUAAGUCAGGUGUGAAAAUUCCGGGCGCAACCUGGGGACUGGACUGGAAACUGGGUGGCUUGAGGGCAGGAGAGGAGAGUAGAAUUCCAAGUGUAGCGGUGAAAUGCGUAGAUAGUAGGAGGAACACCGGUGGCGAAGGCGACUUUCUGGAC